This 348-nucleotide ribosomal RNA is filed under the name uncultured bacterium. RNAcentral describes it as "bacterial SSU rRNA". It matches the Rfam family "Bacterial small subunit ribosomal RNA", at positions 8 to 349 of the family's 1533-position model. The record is from RNAcentral.
AGAGUUUGAUCCUGGCUCAGGAUGAACGCUAGCUACAGGCUUAACACAUGCAAGUCGAGGGGAAACGACAUCGAAAGCUUGCUUUUGAUGGGCGUCGACCGGCGCACGGGUGAGUAACGCGUAUCCAACCUGCCCAUCACUUGGGGAUAACCUUGCGAAAGUAAGACUAAUACCCAAUGAUAUCUCUAGAAGACAUCUGAAAGAGAUUAAAGAUUUAUCGGUGAUGGAUGGGGAUGCGUCUGAUUAGCUUGUGGCGGGUAACGCCACAAGGCGACGAUCAGUAGGGGUUCUGAGACGGAAGGUCCCCCANAUUGGAACUGAGACACGGUCCAAACUCCUACGGGAGCA